Molecule: ribosomal RNA, 463 nt
Filed under: uncultured bacterium
Lineage: Bacteria
Description: partial 16S ribosomal RNA
Rfam family: Bacterial small subunit ribosomal RNA
Source: RNAcentral
GAUGAACGCUGACAGAAUGCUUAACACAUGCAAGUCUUUGGCGAAGCUGUGCUUGCACAGCCUAGCCAAGGCGGACGGGUGAGUAACGCGUAAGGAACUUGCCCUGCAGUCAGGGAUAACAGACGGAAACGACUGAUAAGACCUGGUAAAGUCAGGCGGACUCAUGUCCAGCCUGAUGAAAAGAGAUGCUGCAGGAGAGCCUUGCGUCCUAUUAGCUUGUUGGUGGGGUAACGGCCCACCGAGGCGAUGAUAGGUAGCCGGCCUGAGAGGGUGGACGGCCACAAGGGGACUGAGAUACGGCCCUUACUCCUACGGGAGGCAGCAGUGGGGAAUAUUGGACAAUGGGGGCAACCCUGAUCCAGCAAUUCUGUGUGCACGAUGAAGGUUUUCGGAUUGUAAAGUGCUUUCAGCAGGGAAGAAAAAAAUGACGGUACCUGCAGAAGAAGCGACGGCUAAAUACGUG